Molecule: unclassified non-coding RNA, 248 nt
Filed under: uncultured Pleosporales
Lineage: Eukaryota; Fungi; Ascomycota; Dothideomycetes; Pleosporales
Description: sequence contains ITS2
Source: RNAcentral
AACGCACAUUGCGCCCCUUGGUAUUCCAUGGGGCAUGCCUGUUCGAGCGUCAUUUGUACCCUCAAGCUCUGCUUGGUGUUGGGUGUUUGUCCUGCCUCUGCGUAUGGACUUGCCUGAAAGCAAUUGGCAGCCGGCACAUUAGCCUGUAGCGCAGCACAUUUUGCGAUGCUGGCUAAGGUUGUUGGCGUCCAUGAAGCCUAUAACUUUGCAUUGACCUCGGAUCAGGUAGGGAUACCCGCUGAACUUAA